This 253-nucleotide ribosomal RNA is filed under the name uncultured bacterium. RNAcentral's name for it is "partial 16S ribosomal RNA". It matches the Rfam family "Bacterial small subunit ribosomal RNA", at positions 524 to 776 of the family's 1533-position model. The record is from RNAcentral.
UACAGAGGGUGCAAGCGUUGUUCGGAAUUAUUGGGCGUAAAGCGCGUGUAGGCGGCUUUGCAAGUCGCGUGUGAAAUCCCUCGGCCCAACCGAGGAACUGCGCCCGAGACUGCUUCUCUUGAGUCCCGGAGAGGAAGGUGGAAUUCCCGGUGUAGCGGUGAAAUGUGUAGAGAUCGGGAGGAACACCGGUGGCGAAGGCGGGUCUCUGGGCAACAACUGACGCUGAGGAGCGAAAGCGUGGGGAGCGAACAGG